Molecule: ribosomal RNA, 440 nt
Filed under: uncultured bacterium
Lineage: Bacteria
Description: partial 16S ribosomal RNA
Rfam family: Bacterial small subunit ribosomal RNA
Source: RNAcentral
CCUACGGGAGGCAGCAGUGGGGAAUAUUGCACAAUGGGGGAAACCCUGAUGCAGCGACGCCGCGUGAGUGAAGAAGUAAUUCGUUAUGUAAAGCUCUAUCAGCAGGGAAGAAAAUGACGGUACCUGAGUAAGAAGGCCCGGACAACUACGUACCAGCAGCCGCGGUAAUACGUAGGGGGCAAGCGUUAUCCGGAUUUACGGGGGGUAAAGGGAGCGUAGACGGGAGGGCAAGUCUGGAGUGAAAGGCGCGGGGUCAACCCCAGGACUGCUCUGGAAACUGUACGGCUGGAGUGCGGGAGAGGUAAGUGGAAUUCCUAGUGUAGCGGUGAAAUGCGUAGAUAUCAGGCGGAACACCAGUGGCGAAGGCGGCUUACUGGACCGUAACUGACGUUGAGGCUCGAAAGCGUGGGGAGCAAACAGGAUUAGAUACCCCGGUAGUC